Molecule: ribosomal RNA, 468 nt
Filed under: uncultured bacterium
Lineage: Bacteria
Description: partial 16S ribosomal RNA
Rfam family: Bacterial small subunit ribosomal RNA
Source: RNAcentral
GACGAACGCUGGCGGUGUGCUUAACACAUGCAAGUCGAACGGCAAGGCCCUGCUUUCGUGGUGUGCUCGAGUGGCGAACGGGUGCGUGACACGUGAGUAUCCUGCCCUUGAUUUUGGGAUAACUUCAGGAAACUGGGGCUAAUACCGGAUAGGAUCCCCUGUUGCAUGGUGGGGGUUGGAACGUUUCGGCGGUCGGGGAUGGACUCGCGGCUUAUCGGCUUGUUGGUGGGGUGGUGGCUUACCAAGGCUUUGACGGGUAGCCGGCCUGGGUGGGUGACCGGCCACAAUGGGACUGAGAUACGGCCCAGACUCCUACGGGAGGCAGCAGUGGGGAAUAUUACGCAAUGGGCGGAAGCCUGAUGCAGCAACGCCGCGUUCGGGAUGACGGCCUUCGGGUUGUAAACCGCUUUCGCCUGUGACGAAGCGUGAGUGACGGUAAUGGGUAAAGAAGCACCGGCUAACUACGUG